UUGUAGGCUGCAACUCGCCUACAUGAAGCCGGAAUCGCUAGUAAUCGUGGAUCAGCAUGCCACGGUGAAUACGUUCCCGGGCCUUGUACACACCGCCCGUCACACCACGAGAGUUUGUAACACCCGAAGUCGGUAGGGUAACCUUUAUGGAGCCAGCCGCCGAAGGUGGGACAGAUAAUUGGGGUGAAGUCGUAACAAGGUAGCCGUAUCGGAAGGUGCGGCUGGAUCACCUCCUUU
RNAcentral lists this ribosomal RNA (237 nucleotides) under Enterococcus faecalis. Its description in RNAcentral is "partial 16S ribosomal RNA". It matches the Rfam family "Bacterial small subunit ribosomal RNA", at positions 1298 to 1533 of the family's 1533-position model. The record is from RNAcentral. Lineage: Bacteria; Bacillati; Bacillota; Bacilli; Lactobacillales; Enterococcaceae.